This 492-nucleotide ribosomal RNA is filed under the name uncultured bacterium. RNAcentral's name for it is "partial 16S ribosomal RNA". It matches the Rfam family "Bacterial small subunit ribosomal RNA", at positions 29 to 507 of the family's 1533-position model. The record is from RNAcentral.
AGUGAACGCUGGCGGUAGGCCUAACACAUGCAAGUCGAACGGCAGCACAGUAAGAGCUUGCUCUUACGGGUGGCGAGUGGCGGACGGGUGAGGAAUACAUCGGAAUCUACUUUUUCGUGGGGGAUAACGUAGGGAAACUUACGCUAAUACCGCAUACGACCUACGGGUGAAAGCAGGGGAUCUUCGCACCUUGCGCGAUUGAAUGAGCCGAUGUCGGAUUAGCUAGUUGGCGGGGUAAAGGCCCACCAAGGCGACGAUCCGUAGCUGGUCUGAGAGGAUGAUCAGCCACACUGGAACUGAGACACGGUCCAGACUCCUACGGGAGGCAGCAGUGGGGAAUAUUGGACAAAGGGCGCAAGCCUGAUCCAGCCAUACCGCGUGAGUGAAGAAGGCCUUCGGGUUGUAAAGCCCUUUUGUUGGGAAAGAAAAGCAGCAGGUUAAUACCCCGCUGUUCUGACGGUACCCAAAGAAUAAGCACCGGCUAACUUCGUG